CCAGACUCCUACGGGAGGCAGCAGUGGGGGAUAUUGCACAAUGGGGGAAACCCUGAUGCAGCGACGCCGCGUGGGUGAAGAAGCGCCUCGGCGCGUAAAGCCCUGUCAGCAGGGAAGAAAAUGACGGUACCUGAAGAAGAAGCCCCGGCUAACUACGUGCCAGCAGCCGCGGUAAUACGUAGGGGGCAAGCGUUAUCCGGAUUUACUGGGUGUAAAGGGAGCGUAGACGGCAUAGCAAGUCUGAAGUGAAAGCCCGUGGCUCAACCGCGGAACUGCUUUGGAAACUGUUAAGCUGGAGUGCUGGAGAGGCAAGCGGAAUUCCUAGUGUAGCGGUGAAAUGCGUAGAUAUUAGGAGGAACACCAGUGGCGAAGGCGGCUUGCUGGACUGUAACUGACCCUGAGGCACGAAAGCGUGGGGAGCAAACAGGAUUAGAUACCCCGGUAU
This 445-nucleotide ribosomal RNA is filed under the name uncultured bacterium. RNAcentral's name for it is "partial 16S ribosomal RNA". It matches the Rfam family "Bacterial small subunit ribosomal RNA", at positions 331 to 793 of the family's 1533-position model. The record is from RNAcentral.